AUGACCGCGCCCACUGCACAGAGGGCAGCUGAGGCUCCGACAGCACACACAGACUCAGCUGGCCAGUGGGAGAGCCGUGUGCGACAGCCAGGACCCACGUCUGAGGAGCGCGUGUGGCCCACGUGCUCGGAGCCCCAGGGAGCGCGCUCAGAAAUGGCUCAGCUGGACUCCGUGACUGAAACCAGCCCCAGACUCUUCCCACUGAGCCUCGGGAGCGACAACUCAGACGGGCAGGUGGUCAUCGCCUGCCUGGUCCAGGGCUUCUUCCCGUCAGAGCCACUGAAGGUGACCUGGAGCCAGAGCGGCGAGGGCGUGUCCAUCAGGAACUUCCCCCCUGCUCAGGCCGGGGGCCUGUACACCAUGAGCAGCCAGCUGACCGUGCCGGCCGGCCAGUGCCCAGACAACAAGUCUGUGAAAUGCCAAGUGCAGCACCUCUCCAAAUCCAGCCAGGCCGUGGACGUGCCCUGCAAAGUUCCAGAUAAGCAGUGUCCAGUUAAGUGCAAGGUCAGCCUGUCCCUGCACCCACCGGCCCUUGAGGACCUGCUCCUGAGCUCCAAUGCCAGCCUCACGUGUACGCUGAGUGGCCUGAGAGACCCCAAGGGCGCCACCUUCACCUGGAACCCGACAGGUGGGAAGAAUGCCAUCCAGGAGCUGCCCAAGCCUGACAUCUGCGGCUGCUUCAGCGUGUCCAGUGUCCUGCCGCGCUGCAACGAUCCCUGGAAAAACGGACAGUCCUUCUCCUGCACUGCCACCCAUCCCGAGUCCAAGGACCCGCUAACCGCCACCAUCAAGAAACCCUCAGUGAACACGUUCCGGCCACAGGUCCACCUGCUGCCGCCGCCGUCGGAGGAGCUGGCCCUCAACGAGCUGGUGACACUGACGUGCCUGGUGCGAGGUUUCAGCCCCAAGGAUGUGCUGGUGCGGUGGCUGCAGGGGAACCAGGAGCUGCCCCGCGAGAAGUACCUGACCUGGAGCUCCCUGCCCGAGCACAGCCAGAGCGUCCCCACCUUCGCCGUGACCAGCGUGCUGCGCGUGGACGCCGAGGCCUGGAAGCAGGGGGAGUCCUUCUCCUGCGUGGUGGGCCACGAGGCCCUGCCCCUGGCCUUCACCCAGAAGACCAUCGACUGCCUGGCGGAUCACCAGGACCCGCUGCCCUGGCUGGUGCUAGACCUGCUGCGGGAGGGCCCCGAGGAGGACAGCCUGGAAGCCAGCCUGUGGCCCACCACCAUUACCCUGCUCACCCUCUUCCUGCUGAGCCUCUUCUACAGCACGGCGCUGACCGUGACGAGCGUCCGGGGCCCGCCUGACAGCCGAGAGGGCCCCCAGUACUGA
Non-coding RNA from Eubalaena glacialis (North Atlantic right whale), 1332 nucleotides. The record is from the annotation of a RefSeq genome assembly. Lineage: Eukaryota; Metazoa; Chordata; Mammalia; Artiodactyla; Balaenidae.